ACGCAGGUUCUUAGUUUUAGAAUAUCACACUAUUUAUUAAUAUCCCACUCUCUGAAUUUAAAUUUAUCACUCUAAGCGUGAUUGGAUUUUACACAUACAUAAUUCCUUUUUCUAACAAAGUAAGUGAUUGGACAUAUGUAUCCAGAAUCAACGUGUUUCAUUAAUUAACACUAUGAACAUUCUGCUGGCUCUUCUUACAUAUUCGAUUUAUUAGUUAGGUUGGUGAAAAAAUAUUGUUGAUUAUCAUGAAAAGAGGAUAGCAAACCUCCGUCAUGGAGUAAACUUGGCCAGAGAAAAAGGCUUUAUCAAAACAUCGCUUUUCUAGUUGGUUGCCCGAUUAAUAUUUAAUGAGCUAUGGAGCCAGCGAAACUCUUGAUGUCUAGUUCCGGUACAGGUGCAAUUAGUGAGUCUAUCAGUACUAUACCGUGGCAUGCACAUGUAGUACGGACUGCAGUGAUAGCUUCGUACUACAUACAUAGACUUCCAACAAUAUCAAGGAACCAAGUCUUGUGCAGCCAAAACACACAAAGUUGUUCUCGCUCGCUGCUGUGUUUUGCUUGACCAGACUCUGCUCUUUGUCCCACUCUUGGGCUGAGAUGAAAUUGCAAAUUAAUAGGGACCAGGUCUUGCACGUUGACCAACACCUCGUCGUGACACUCUGCUGGUGUGUGUAUCCCGUGGUUAGUGGUGAUUAAUAUCAGGCAAAAAAUCGAACAAGUGGAAGGUGAAAAGUGAGACAGGGGAAGUCACUAACGAACUCCGCAACUACUGGGAGCAGCAGGAGGAGAAAGUGAGAGGAGCUGCUCCAGGGCGAGAGCGACUGGCUGCUGCGUGGAUCGAGGUGGAUUUUCACCAGCAGCACCCGAUUCCGCUCUCGCUCUCUCUCCGCUGACUGGACAGACAAAGAGGAAAGUUGGGGCCGGAAAAAUUGCACUCCUUCCUCCACCACCGACGACCGAGAGUCAAGUUUUCAUUUACUUCUCCCCAAAUCUUUCAAUCUCAACGUUCCAAUCCAUCUAAACUGAACUGGACUUUUCAAUCCCAACUUUCCCCCAACCAACCCGACUGCUCUGUGAACUACCCCCACUCCAGUUUUCCUCUGCUCCUCCGCCCAGUCCAUUCCAGGGCAAUUAGUGAAGUGUGGAACUGGACAUCUCACCUCGCAAAAAGCAACCAAGACACAAGAGACAAACUUUCCCUUCUUUUUCUUCCUGCAUGCACACGUUUCUCCAGCUGCAUUCAUGCAUACACUUAACACGUUGAGAAUUUUGCAUCGAAACAUGUGGAACCUGUAUUAAAUACUUAUCUUUCUAGUGAACGAAUUUUGUCUCAAUUUGACUUUGACUACUCAACCCAUCUAUUCAUCCAGUCCAACGUGAUGAUCUUGGAUACAAUAACAUAUGCAUACUUAUCAAACACAGAAUUACACUAGAAAGCGAGAAUUUUUUUGGGAAGAUUCUUUAUUCUGGAGAGAAAACGUGUUUCACUUAAUGAGCUGGAAGGCUUCUGCCACGUAAUUGUCAACGAUACGGAGGGUCGAGCUGAUUGCAUGAUGGGGACAGAAUAAAAAAAGCCAGACUGUGAUUCGCUAAUUGUUCAGUGGAACAACUAUGGCUUUAUUACACGCAUUCAGAUAUAGUGGAACCCUAACAUGCUGGCUGCGAGUGAAUCGUGACUACUGGCAAUAAUAUUCUGCAAGCCGACCACGAUGUGACUUUUUCUCACAAAGUUCUUUAAAAACAACGACGAUAAUUGCCCAACAAUUACACUACAAACAGUAGUUUCUUGACCUUUGCUAAAAUUGGGCAUGUGAGACAGUACAACAACCCAAUUGAUGAGAUCUCUCUGCACAUUUCACCCAAUUAAAUCCACGCAAAAAUAAAAAUCUUUAGUAUAUUUGAGUAACAAUUUAUCGAAAAUAAUAUGUGAUGGUUACGUCUCAUCUCAACGAUUGUAAUAUUUCGUACCUGGCAAGUAAACGAGUAUAAGAAAUUAUUAAAUAUUGUUAUUAUCUGUGCAAUCUACGUUAUUUUCAAUAGUCUACAAAUGUGGGUGGGUAUAAAUUAUAAGGAGAAAUUAAAUUAAAAAAACAUAGUUGACUCAUAUCGGAAAUAGGCUUGAACGCAACCAGCAUCUUCAGCCAAAGGAAAUACGACGCCAGUUAAUACUACCAAGUAAGUGUUUCAAAAUAAGGCGUGCAAUUCUUCGAAUUUCUUUCAUACGAAAUGCAACAUUGGUGCUGAUAAUAUUCACUGGAAACUCCAGUUCUGGAAUAAAAGACAAACACAUUAAUCAAUCAAAUUUAAACAAAUAUCAACAAUAUCACCAUUAUUCAAAAUGAGGGCCCAUUAAAAUAGUCAUCAAAACCAACUGAUCAUCGCAAGAUAUUCCAAUUUAGCGUCGACGGUUCGGGACAUUUUCUGAGACACAUCAUUCACACAUCAUCAUCAUCAUCACCCCUCUGUUCAGCGUUACCCAUUAUCAUCUACUUCCACUUGGCAUUCAACAUUUCACCAAAAUGGCCAAGUAACAAGUAGCAUCAGAGCAUAUCUACUACAUCAUCAUCAUCAUUUAUGCCACAUUUAUACAAGAGUUACGACUUAACGGCAACCACAACCUGUUCUCCUUUCACAACCACCGACUCGCUUGGCAGUCAGCUUAUACGCAGUUUGUACUCGUGUUCAGCAACCCCCCUUCCGCGGAAAAUCCUUUACGCACACAUAAAGAAAACACACUCCCUCGCACCACCUCCGUGUAAUUAACUGAUGGGACGCUGACUAUCUGAGUAAGAAAAUAAUAAGUGCUAUUAAUAUUCAUACACGAGGCAUCCUUGUUUGAAUGCGUAUCUAAACGACGACAAGACGCGUCUAACGACAUGUUGGGAAGUAAACAAUACAUUUGAUGUCAUGUUUCUUGCGUCACAUUUCAUUCGCGUCAAUGUCAGAAACAGUGAAACUGAGGAAAGUGUCGUGGAAGGAAAGUUGUCAGUGCGGAAGGUUGUGUGCAAAUCCUUUUUGAUUCCACCGUCUCGCCCCAUGCUCCUCAACAGCGGCGUUGUUCCCGAGUGAAAGUUCCACCUUAUGUAGCACGUGCCACUGAGCCAGUCCUCUCUCACUUUCAUAACACAACAUUGCACGGAGAAAUUGCCAACAAGUGCGUGUCAGUCACAAGCACAUUACAAAAAUGUUGCCAACUAAUGUCGUGUCGUUUAUGAAGAAGAUGGUGUCCAACACGGAGGGGAUGAACAGCAAUCAGUUCAUGAGUUCGUCCAAUUCUUCCGGGGCAGGUGCGAUAGGGCGUCUUCGCCAAACUCUGCAGCAAGCCCACGAGUCCGUGUCCACCCGGCUGCAGAGUAGAACACCUCAGCAAGCAUCCGAUCUCCAAGGUGGCGACGGUCUCACGGACAACGUGCCCAAUGUUAACGUCUCCACGCCCGUCGAAGAGAAGGAAGCUGCGAGACCUGGAAGUGCUGGGAGAUGCCGCGUGUGUGUGAAAGCCAUGAAGCCGGAGGAGUACAGUAAAAGUGUAAUGUGUACGGAAUGCCACUUACUGGUUUGCGAUGACUGCAAUAGCUAUUCUAAUGCUGACGGAAA
Long non-coding RNA from Folsomia candida, 3593 nucleotides. RefSeq lists it as uncharacterized. Lineage: Eukaryota; Metazoa; Arthropoda; Collembola; Entomobryomorpha; Isotomidae. The record is from RefSeq and is a predicted model, not a curated record. The transcript is spliced from 5 exons.